GACGAACGCUGGCGGCGUGCUUAACACAUGCAAGUCGAACGAUGAAGCCGGAGCUUGCUCUGGUGAAUUAGUGGCGAACGGGUGAGUAACACGUGAGUAACCUGCCCUUGACUCUGGGAUAACUGCGGGAAACUGUAGCUAAUACCGGAUACGACCAUCGGAGGCAUCUCCUGGGGGUGGAAAGAAUUUCGGUCAAGGAUGGACUCGCGGCCUAUCAGCCAGUUGGUGAGGUAAAGGCUCACCAAGGCGACGACGGGUAGCCGGCCUGAGAGGGUGACCGGCCACACUGGGACUGAGACACGGCCCAGACUCCUACGGGAGGCAGCAGUGGGGAAUAUUGCACAAUGGGCGCAAGCCUGAUGCAGCAACGCCGCGUGAGGGAUGACGGCCUUCGGGUUGUAAACCUCUUUUAGCAGGGAAGAAGCGAAAGUGACGGUACCUGCAGAAAAAGCACCGGCUAACUACGUGCCAGCAGCCGCCGUAA
RNAcentral lists this ribosomal RNA (484 nucleotides) under uncultured bacterium. RNAcentral describes it as "partial 16S ribosomal RNA". It matches the Rfam family "Bacterial small subunit ribosomal RNA", at positions 28 to 523 of the family's 1533-position model. The record is from RNAcentral.